UUGUCAACGUUAUAAACUUUAUAGAAAUAUUUUUUAUUAAUGACCAAGUAUAAAGAACCAUGCAUAGCGUGAAAACGCGGAUUAUAUAAAAGUAUAUAAUAAAGUGCGAGCAGAGGAUCAAUCAAACUUGGGCUGGAAUGAUUGUAGUGCAUCCAAUGCACCUUGGAAUUCGUAGUUUACAUCUACAGCAGCAUAUGGUACAGCAGUGACAACGCCAAAGAAAAGGACUACAUUUCCCAGAAUGCACCUGCACCCACUCAUCUGCCCCCACUCUUCAGGUGCGACUGCUUGACCUAUGGGCUUGACGGGAGAAUUCAAAAUCGCGAACCGUUACAGCCUGGACUUCUCGGUGUCUUUCUUUGUUUGUUUGCUCAUCAACAGUAAGAGGUCAUGUACACUGUGGUCAACUUGUGGACGCUGAAGAGGUUUCUGGGUAAAGAUGAUAGAAAUAAUGAAGUAACAGUGGAAGCUAAAACAUCAGACUGAUCCAGACACUGAAGAAAUUGAUGUCACUGCAAUCUGGCCAAAAUGAUAGAAAUAUAAUGAAGUAACAGUGGAAGCUAAAACAUCAAACUGAUCCAGACACUGAAGAAAUUGAUGUCACUGCAAUCUGGCCAAAAUGAUACAACUAUAUUGAAGUAGCCUACUGUAAUGAAGCUGCAGAACGUCACAGAGACUCUGAGGACAUCAACACAGAAUAUCAAGGCUCCCAAGAGAUGUCUGUCCAGAUGAGGGUGCAUCAACGUUACCUUUGCUGACAAGUAUAUGCUUUACAAUGUAAAACCUAACAGUUAACUUAACUCAAACCAUUUAAGGAAAUUGGUUGCCUUAAAUCAUUAAGUUUUAAAAAAACAUACAUUUGAGUACUGUGAACUUAAGUCUUGUGCAAUUAUGCACUUAUAUUUAGGUAGUGUGAACUUAAAUAUAAGUGCUUAACUGCAUGUGACUCAAUUUGUUUAAGUUCACAGUACUCAAAUCUAUGUGUUUUAAAACUUGAAUGGUUUAAUGCAACCGGUUUUCUUAAAUGUGAGAAAUUACAGUGUUACAGUGAGAAAUGUUUGAAUAAUUCCAAGACAGAGCUCUGUGAUUGAUUCUACAC
Non-coding RNA from Misgurnus anguillicaudatus (oriental weatherfish), 1099 nucleotides. The record is from RefSeq and is a predicted model, not a curated record. Lineage: Eukaryota; Metazoa; Chordata; Actinopteri; Cypriniformes; Cobitidae.